UCGGACUGUAGCGUAGUCCGGUAGCGUAUCCCGACUUAGGUCGGGAGGGUCCUGGGUUCAAAUCCCAGAUGAA
Molecule: transfer RNA, 73 nt
Filed under: Cyclobacterium lianum
Lineage: Bacteria; Pseudomonadati; Bacteroidota; Cytophagia; Cytophagales; Cyclobacteriaceae
Description: tRNA_Undet_???
Source: RNAcentral